Molecule: long non-coding RNA, 249 nt
Filed under: Mytilus galloprovincialis (Mediterranean mussel)
Lineage: Eukaryota; Metazoa; Mollusca; Bivalvia; Mytilida; Mytilidae
Source: RNAcentral
CUAAUACUUUUCAAGAAAAAUGCAAAUAAAAAAAUGCUUCAAGGGGAUAUAACUCUCAAAGGGGAUGAUGAAAUCCUACACAGCCUCAUCUGGUAAUACGUUAUAAUGAGAUCUAUCGAUGGUCAAUAUUUGGUCUUGAUGACUUCAAUAGAAACGGGGGGAGGGCAUGUCAAAAAAAUGUUGGAAGAAAAAAAAACAUUAGAAAAACAAUAAGGUCUUUCCUCACGUAGGGGAAAGACCUUAAUAACA